Molecule: ribosomal RNA, 758 nt
Filed under: uncultured organism
Description: SSU rRNA
Rfam family: Bacterial small subunit ribosomal RNA
Source: RNAcentral
GAUGAGCGCUGACAGAAUGCUUAACACAUGCAAGUCAACUUGAAUUUGAGGUUUUUAACUUAGAUUUGGGUGGCGGACGGGUGAGUAACGCGUAAANGACUGCCCUCACAGCUAGGGACAACAUUUAGAAAUGAAUGCUAUACCUNGAUAUUAUGAUUUUAAGCAUUCUUAGAAUUAUGAAAGCUAUAAGCACUGUGAGAGAGCUUUGCGUCCCAUUAGCUAGUUGGAGAGGUAACAGCUCACCAAGGCGAUGAUGGGUAGCUGGCCUGGGAGGGUGAACGGCCACAAGGGGACUGAGACACGGCCCUUACUCCUACGGGAGGCAGCCAGUGGGGAAUAUUGGACAAUGGACCGAGAGUCUGAUCCAGCAAAUUCUGUGUGCACGAUGAAGUUUUUCGGAAUGUAAAGUGCUUUCAGUUGGGAAGAAAUAAAUGACGGUACCAACAGAAGAAGUGACGGCUAAAUACGUGCCAGCAGCCGCGGUAAUAUGUAUGUCACGAGCGCUAUCCGGAUUUAUUGGGCGUAAAGCGCGUCUAGGUGGUUAUGUAAGUCUGAUGUGAAAAUGCAGGGCUCAACUCUGUAUUGCGUUGGAAACUGUAUAACUAGAGUACUGGAGAGGUAAGCGGAACUACAAGUGUAGAGGUGAAGUUCGUAGAUAUUUGUAGGAAUGCCGAUGGGGAAGCCAGCUUACUGGACAGAUACUGACGCUAAAGCGCGAAAGCGUGGGUAGCAAACAGGAUUAGAUACCCUGGUAGUCC